UCGGGAAUUUUGGGCAAUGGGCGAAAGCCUGACCCAGCAACGCCGCGUGAAGGAUGAAGUAUUUCGGUAUGUAAACUUCGAAAGAAUAGGAAGAAUAAAUGACGGUACUAUUUAUAAGGUCCGGCUAACUACGUGCCAGCAGCCGCGGUAAUACGUAGGGACCAAGCGUUGUUCGGAUUUACUGGGCGUAAAGGGCGCGUAGGCGGCAAUUCAAGUCAUCUGUGAAAUCUCCGGGCUUAACUCGGAACGGUCAGAUGAUACUGCUUUGCUAGAGUGCAGAAGGGGCAAUCGGAAUUCUUGGUGUAGCGGUGAAAUGCGUAGAUAUCAAGAGGAACACCUGAGGUGAAGACGGGUUGCUGGGCUGACACUGACGCUGAGGCACGAAAGCUAGGGUAGCGAACGGGAUUAGAUACCCCCGUAGUCCCUGAGCGGGCUGGCAAGGCGCAU
RNAcentral lists this ribosomal RNA (447 nucleotides) under uncultured bacterium. RNAcentral describes it as "bacterial SSU rRNA". It matches the Rfam family "Bacterial small subunit ribosomal RNA", at positions 355 to 825 of the family's 1533-position model. The record is from RNAcentral.